Molecule: ribosomal RNA, 465 nt
Filed under: uncultured Klebsiella sp.
Lineage: Bacteria; Pseudomonadati; Pseudomonadota; Gammaproteobacteria; Enterobacterales; Enterobacteriaceae
Description: bacterial SSU rRNA
Rfam family: Bacterial small subunit ribosomal RNA
Source: RNAcentral
CCUACGGGGGGCUGCAGUGAGGAAUAUUGCACAAUGGGCGCAAGCCUGAUGCAGCCAUGCCGCGUGUGUGAAGAAGGCCUUCGGGUUGUAAAGCACUUUCAGCGGGGAGGAAGGCGUUAAGGUUAAUAACCUUGUCGAUUGACGUUACCCGCGGAAGAAGCACCGGCUAACUCCGUGCCAGCAGCCGCGGUAAUACGGAGGGUGCAAGCGUUAAUCGGAAUUACUGGGCGUAAAGCGCACGCAGGCGGUCUGUCAAGUCGGAUGUGAAAUCCCCGGGCUCAACCUGGGAACUGCAUUCGAAACUGGCAGGCUAGAGUCUUGUAGAGGGGGGUAGAAUUCCAGGUGUAGCGGUGAAAUGCGUAGAGAUCUGGAGGAAUACCGGUGGCGAAGGCGGCCCCCUGGACAAAGACUGACGCUCAGGUGCGAAAGCGUGGGGAGCAAACAGGAUUAGAUACCCGAGUAGUC